RNAcentral lists this long non-coding RNA (1050 nucleotides) under Cyanistes caeruleus (blue tit). RNAcentral describes it as "lncRNA (ENSCCEG00000016473.1)". The record is from RNAcentral. Lineage: Eukaryota; Metazoa; Chordata; Aves; Passeriformes; Paridae.
CUGCUGAUUGAUAGCUGAAUGACAAGCUGCAAUGUCACUUUCUUACAGGAAUAACUAUCCUGAAUUACAAGGAUAGUGAAUUGGAACACAUCCUUUAGAAAGAUGCCUAAUCCCAUUUUUAAAGCUCUGAGUGAUGGCUUCAGCUGCCAUGCAGCCUCCGAGUCCUGGUGCUGUUUCCUGUGAUAGACGCCCAGUGCAUGCACCAGUGAGUCCUGCUGAGGGCUGGGCUGCUGUGUGAGGCUCCUCUGGGGGCUGAUGCUCAGAGCUUUUAUCACCUGGCCUUGUCUGCAAGGAAAGUGAUCAUUCCUCUAAUCUCGGGAGCUGGGGAUGAUCCUUCACCAGUCUGAGCUCUGCUGAAGUUGUUGGGGUGACAGCUAUUAUCUCUGCUGGAUUCCAGGCCAGCUCACCUUCUCUGGUACUCCUGGCUCCUGACGGCCAGAGCUGACACCUGAGCCUGCUCUGUAGCUGAUCCUUGUUUCCUUCACCAUUUGCCUUUUAAAGUUUGCCCGCGCUCCUGUUAAGCUCUCAGACACAUCUUCAUCUAAUGAAAAUAAGUGACAGGUACACUCAGGUGUCAGGUGUAAAAUACAGAGGUUGGGUGAAUUUCUCAGGGAAAAUGCCAAAAACUCUUUGAAAUUAAUUCUGUACUGCAGGGACAGCCUGACACCUACCUAAACCCCAGAAAGGUGCAUUUUGGAGACACUACUAAUCCUAAACUUGUUUCCUAGUCCGCACAGGUUUGUAGACAACUUUUGCCAAGUGGUAUGAUGGUAAAUUGAGAAACCUUCAGAUUUUGCUGCAGUAUUUCACCAACUCUAUUGACUUGUUCCAUUAAAAGAAAAAGAAAUAAUUAAAGCUGCUAAGUUCCUAAAAUGGAAAGUGCAUCUUUCUUGGCAUUGUAAAGCAGCAAGAUGAAGGCUUGCUCUGCCUGUACAUAGCUGUAAUUUAUGUUUAUGCUCUCAUAAGGGGUCUGCAUGUGCCUAAGUCACAUUAACAUUAAUAGGAGCUGAAUGCAAGCAGGGAGGUUUAGCUAGAAUAUUGGGAAACAUU